RNAcentral lists this unclassified non-coding RNA (565 nucleotides) under Aspergillus latus. RNAcentral describes it as "sequence contains 18S rRNA gene, ITS1, 5.8S rRNA gene, ITS2, 28S rRNA gene". The stretch from base 196 to 349 matches the Rfam family "5.8S ribosomal RNA". The record is from RNAcentral. Lineage: Eukaryota; Fungi; Ascomycota; Eurotiomycetes; Eurotiales; Aspergillaceae.
GUAACAAGGUUUCCGUAGGUGAACCUGCGGAAGGAUCAUUACCGAGUGCGGGCUGCCUCCGGGCGCCCAACCUCCCACCCGUGACUACCUAACACUGUUGCUUCGGCGGGGAGCCCCCUAGGGGCGAGCCGCCGGGGACCACUGAACUUCAUGCCUGAGAGUGAUGCAGUCUGAGCCUGAAUACAAAUCAGUCAAAACUUUCAACAAUGGAUCUCUUGGUUCCGGCAUCGAUGAAGAACGCAGCGAACUGCGAUAAGUAAUGUGAAUUGCAGAAUUCAGUGAAUCAUCGAGUCUUUGAACGCACAUUGCGCCCCCUGGCAUUCCGGGGGGCAUGCCUGUCCGAGCGUCAUUGCUGCCCUCAAGCCCGGCUUGUGUGUUGGGUCGUCGUCCCCCCCGGGGGACGGGCCCGAAAGGCAGCGGCGGCACCGUGUCCGGUCCUCGAGCGUAUGGGGCUUUGUCACCCGCUCGAUUAGGGCCGGCCGGGCGCCAGCCGGCGUCUCCAACCUUAUUUUUCUCAGGUUGACCUCGGAUCAGGUAGGGAUACCCGCUGAACUUAAGCAUAUCA